This is a non-coding RNA of Doryrhamphus excisus (bluestripe pipefish), 893 nucleotides long. The record is from RefSeq and is a predicted model, not a curated record. Lineage: Eukaryota; Metazoa; Chordata; Actinopteri; Syngnathiformes; Syngnathidae.
UUAAGAGAAAUUGCAUUGUGGGAACUUUAGUGUCUCUUGUCUGUCUAUAGUUUUCUGCGUCCUGAUUGGCUGUAGACCAAUUCCAAUCAAUCUCAUUCAAGUAGCCUUGCAACGUCUCCUGUAUGUGUCAUAGCUAGUUUGCUAGCUUGCUAACAAGGUAACAAGGAUACAAAAACAAUACAGCACAGCGAAACUGUACCAGGACCAAAAGCUUCAUCUUCCCACUCCAGCCAAGGACGUGUACGAGUGUGCAGGUGACACACACUCAUUGCCGCAGUCAUUUGACCUCUCACCCCAACAAUGGAGUCUGACCCUGAGCUGCUCCUUCAUUUAAUCACCUGACCUUCGCAUCACGCCACCAGCGUUCUCCUUUCAGGCUUUUUUACCGAGCUUUUGCCGCCUCCCCUGUCGAUGAAGGGCUCACGACAGUCGUCCGCCAUUCUGCAUGACUGCCAGUAUAAAUCUGACGCAGACGGACUCAUCUCCCGGUUAUCACCCCACCCACUAUCGGCUGCUACUUAAGCAUAGUCCCAAGCCCCUAGUGGUAUUUGGUGGUACCAAGCGGGUGCCUCUUGGUCUGGCGACGACACCCCAAGCUCGGGUCGCACUGACAUCACAUGAUUGCCUAUGAAUAUGUGCUCACAACGAGGGCUGAAAUGGUUCGGGAAUAGGAGCCGUUUUGAUUCACCGCCUCCUCCUUCUGCCUCAGGCUGCAGCGUUUGAGCUGCACAGGUCAGUCUGGAAGUAUUUCGGGAUCCAUAGCAGCCAACUGGACAUCAUUUGAUGCUGCGCAAGACAAAAUGGUGUGUAAUUUAAUAGUUGGAGCAACGUGAAUACAGCAAAUAACCAUUCCAUUCAAAUUACUUCAGUCAUUUCAGAUCCUCGAUGAUAUA